This 382-nucleotide ribosomal RNA is filed under the name Xanthobacter flavus. Its description in RNAcentral is "bacterial SSU rRNA". It matches the Rfam family "Bacterial small subunit ribosomal RNA", at positions 1 to 419 of the family's 1533-position model. The record is from RNAcentral. Lineage: Bacteria; Pseudomonadati; Pseudomonadota; Alphaproteobacteria; Hyphomicrobiales; Xanthobacteraceae.
UAGAGUUUGAUCAUGGCUCAGAGCGAACGCUGGCGGCAGGCCUAACACAUGCAAGUCGAGCGCCCAGCAAUGGGAGCGGCAGACGGGUGAGUAACACGUGGGGAUCUACCCAAUGGUACGGAAUAACCCAGGGAAACUUGGAUUAAUACCGUAUGUGCCCUUCGGGGGAAAGAUUUAUCGCCAUUGGAUGAACCCGCGUCGGAUUAGCUAGUUGGUGAGGUAAAGGCUCACCAAGGCGACGAUCCGUAGCUGGUCUGAGAGGAUGAUCAGCCACACUGGGACUGAGACACGGCCCAGACUCCUACGGGAGGCAGCAGUGGGGAAUAUUGGACAAUGGGCGCAAGCCUGAUCCAGCCAUGCCGCGUGAGUGAUGAAGGCCUUA